GCUGGCGGCAGGCCUAACACAUUCUAGUCGAACGGAGUUAUAUUGUAGCUUGCUAUGGUAUAACUUAGUGGCAGACGGGUGAGUAAUGUAUAGGAAUCNACCNANUAGUACGGAAUAAUUGUUGGAAACGGCAACUAAUACCGUAUACGCCCUACGGGGGAAAAAUUUAUUGCUAUUAGAUGAGCCUAUAUUAGAUUAGCUAGUUGGUGGAGUAAUAGCCUACCAAGGCAAUGAUCUAUAGCUGAUCUGAGAGGAUGAUCAGCCACACUGGAACUGAGAUACGGUCCAGACUCCUACGGGAGGCAGCAGUGGGGAAUAUUGGACAAUGGGCGAAAGCCUGAUCCAGCCAUGCCGCAUGAGUGAAGAAGGCCUUUGGGUUGUAAAGCUCUUUUAGUGAGGAAGAUAAUGACGGUACUCACAGAAGAAGUCCUGGCUAACUCCGUGCCAGCAGCCGCGGUAAUACGGAGAGGGCUAGCGUUAUUCGGAAUUAUUGGGCGUAAAGGGCGCGUAGGCGGAUUAGUAAGUUAAAAGUGAAAUCCCAAGGCUCAACCUUGGAAUUGCUUUUAAAACUGCUAAUCUAGAGAUUGAAAGAGGAUAGAGGAAUUCCUAGUGUAGAGGUGAAAUUCGUAAAUAUUAGGAGGAACACCAGUGGCGAAGGCGUCUAUCUGGUUCAUAUCUGACGCUGAUGCGCCAAGGCGUGGGGAGC
Molecule: ribosomal RNA, 706 nt
Filed under: uncultured bacterium
Lineage: Bacteria
Description: bacterial SSU rRNA
Rfam family: Bacterial small subunit ribosomal RNA
Source: RNAcentral